Molecule: ribosomal RNA, 216 nt
Filed under: Glomeromycotina sp.
Lineage: Eukaryota; Fungi; Glomeromycota
Description: partial small subunit ribosomal RNA
Rfam family: Eukaryotic small subunit ribosomal RNA (bases 40-216)
Source: RNAcentral
GGGCCAGUAGGUUGGUCGUGCCACCGGUACGUACUGGUCUCACUGAUUCCUCCUUCCUGAAGAACCGUAAUGCCAUUAAUUUGGUGUUGCGGGGAAACAGGACUGUUACUUUGAAAAAAUUAGAGUGUUUAAAACAAGCUAACGCUUGAAUACAUUAGCAUGGAAUAAUGAAAUAGGACGAUCGAUCCUAUUUUGUUGGUUUCUAGGAUUGACGUA